GCUGGCGUAGCUCAGCUGGUAGAGCAGCUGAUUUGUAAUCAGCAGGUCCGGGGUUCGAGUCCCCGCGCCAGCU
This 73-nucleotide transfer RNA is filed under the name Gemmatimonadota bacterium. Its description in RNAcentral is "Gemmatimonadetes bacterium (freshwater metagenome) tRNA-Thr". It matches the Rfam family "tRNA". Rfam says of the family: Transfer RNA (tRNA) molecules are approximately 80 nucleotides in length. Their secondary structure includes four short double-helical elements and three loops (D, anti-codon, and T loops). Lineage: Bacteria; Pseudomonadati; Gemmatimonadota. The record is from RNAcentral.